Betta splendens (Siamese fighting fish) is the source of this 462-nucleotide long non-coding RNA. RefSeq lists it as uncharacterized. Lineage: Eukaryota; Metazoa; Chordata; Actinopteri; Anabantiformes; Osphronemidae. The transcript is spliced from 3 exons. The record is from RefSeq and is a predicted model, not a curated record.
CGCAGCUGCAGCAGCAGCGCCUCUGCUUCUGGGCAGCUGGGCUUCAACAAUAACGCCGACUGCACAUCGCGAUAGCACUGGGAGUUCUGGAGAAAAGAGCACAUGUGGUGUUAGAUGCCUCACAUAUGAAGUGCACGUGCUGCUGCUUUUUCUAAUAUACUGCGGUGACCUGGUUCAUCUGCUUGUGGAGUCUGGCUCUGAGGACAUAGAGGUCAGAGGUGGGUUCAUCCGAUGCUAUCCAGUCAUUCAGCACUUGCAGACAGUCAGUGAGAUGCCCUGCAGCUGUCAGACAGGCCAGGCUGGAGCAGGGAUGAUCAGAGCUCAGAGGUCCUGCAGCCCGGUUUGACCUGUGCAGCUUUAGUGAAGGAUUCCAAUGCAUCCAGGAAAAGACCUCGAUCAAACAAACACUGGCCCUGGAAAGCCAAAAACCAGAGAAUUACUCUCUCGUCAUCGGAAGCUAGA